This 1433-nucleotide ribosomal RNA is filed under the name uncultured bacterium. RNAcentral's name for it is "partial 16S ribosomal RNA". It matches the Rfam family "Bacterial small subunit ribosomal RNA". The record is from RNAcentral.
AGAUCAGAUCAUCACGUGGAUUUCAUGUGACUCAGGCGAUCUAUGUAUAGUGAUCUGUCAGUACUGCGCGCUACAUGCAUCGACGACUGAUCUCUGAGAGAGGGCACGUAUACCGUGUACUGCUGAGCGGAUACACUGACGUGCUAUACGAAGUUCGUGAUCAUUAUGAGUAAGUCCUUGAGGGCGCUGAGAGGGCUGCGCCAUCAGUAGUGUAGGUAUAGCCUCCAGCAAGACGGUAGGGGCGUGAGAGCGUGCCCCCCCACUGCACUGAGUACGGCCAGACUCCUACGGGAGCAGCAGUGAGGAAUAUUGCCCAUGGACGCAAGUUUGAGGCAGCAACGCCGCGUGGGUGAUGAAGGCCCUCGGGUCGUAAAACCCUUUUCUGGGGGAAGAGAAAGGACGGUACCCCAGGAAUAAGCCUCGGCUAACUAUGUGCCAGCAGCCGCGGUAAGACAUAGGAGGCGAGCGUUAUCCGGAUUUAUUGGGCGUAAAGAGCGUUGAGGCGGCUCUGUAAGUUGGACGUGAAAGCUCCCGGCCUAACUGGGAGAGGUCGUUCAAUACUGCAGGGCUUGAGGACAGCAGAGGGGGGUGGAAUUCCCGGUGUAGUGGUGAAAUGCGUAGAUAUCGGGAGGAACACCAGUGGCGAAGGCGGCCCCCUGGGCUGAUCCUGACGCUGAAGGCGAAAGCUAGGGGAGCAAACGGGAUUAGAAACCCCGGUAGUCCUAGCCGUAAACGAUGGAUACUAGGUGUAGGGGGUGAAAAAUCUCUCUGUGCCGAAGCUAACGCGCUAAGUAUCCCGCCUGGGGACUACGGUCGCAAGGCUAAAACUCAAAGGAAUUGACGGGUCUCCGCACAAGCAGCGGAGCGUGUGGUUCAAUUCGAUGCUACACGAAGAACCUUACCAGGGCUUGACAUGCAGGUAGUAGUGAAGCGAAAGCGGAACGAUCCUUCGGGAAGCCUGCACAGGUGCUGCAUGGCUGUCGUCAGCUCGUGCCGUGAGGUGUUAGGUUAAGUCCUGUAACGAGCGCAACCCUUACCGUUAGUUACACGUGUCUAGCGGAACUGCCCGGCAAAACUGGGAGGAAGGUGGGGAUGACGUCAAGUCAGCAUGGCCCUUAUGCCCUGGGCUACACACACGCUACAAUGGCCGGUACAAUGGGUCGCCAAGCCGUAAGGCGGAGCCAAUCCUUAAAGCCGGUCUCAGUUCGGAUUGUAGGCUGCAACUCGCCUGCAUGAAGUUGGAGUUGCUAGUAACCGCAGGUCAGCUAUACUGCGGUGAAUACGUUCCCGGAGAUUGUACACACCGCCCGUCACGUCAUGGAAGCUGGUAACACCUGAAGCCGGUGGGCUAACCUAACGGAGGCAGCCGUCGAAGGUGGGACUGGUGACUGGGACGAAGUCGUAACAAGGUAACCAAUCGAAUUCCCGCGGCC